RNAcentral lists this ribosomal RNA (373 nucleotides) under uncultured organism. Its description in RNAcentral is "bacterial SSU rRNA". It matches the Rfam family "Bacterial small subunit ribosomal RNA", at positions 526 to 896 of the family's 1533-position model. The record is from RNAcentral.
CGUAGGGGACGAGCGUUGUCCGGAUUCAUUGGGCGUAAAGCGCGCGUAGGCGGCUCGGAAAGUCGGGCGUGAAAUGCCGGGGCUCAACCCCGGGACUGCGUCCGAUACUUCCGAGCUGGAGGUAGGUAGGGGAGAUCGGAAUUCCUGGUGUAGCGGUGAAAUGCGCAGAUAUCAGGAGGAACACCGGUGGCGAAGGCGGAUCUCUGGGCCUUACCUGACGCUGAGGCGCGAAAGCUAGGGGAGCGAACAGGAUUAGAUACCCUGGUAGUCCUAGCCGUAAACGUUGGGUGCUAGGUGUGGGCGGACAUCGACCCCGUCCGUGCCGAAGCUAACGCAUUAAGCACCCCGCCUGGGGAGUACGGCCGCAAGGCUA